CGAAAGUAACCAAUUGUUAGAAUGAAUUGUUGAAGGAUUCCAUUGUUUGCGCCGUUUCGUUGGAAAAGAAAACACGGAACCGAGAAGAAGAAGAAGAAGAAGAAUCGUUAAGCUGAAGUCGGCCCGCUCGGAGGCAAACGUUGGACUCCGGAUGGAACCGCGAAGAUAAGACUUAGCGUUAACGAUUCUUCAAUCGUUAACGUUAAACACAUGUUAUUCAAGUGUGAGUUAGGACAAAUGAAACUGGUGAUUAACAUCACUUGUGGAGUUGCAUUCUUUCCAACUCUCGGUGGAACUCUGACGCAGCCACCUCCCCGUGGAAAAACAGAAGUAAGAAGCAGUUAUUUAUUGUGACAACGUCACAACGUCUUGUCCUUGUGCAUCGUAAUUUUUCUCUUAACAAUAGAAUUACAAUUUUCAUCCAGCAACUCGUUGCGUAUCAUUCUCAGCCGUUAGAAGAUUUUUUAUUUAAAAAAUAACUUUAUAUCAUUAAUCAUAAUAAAUAAAUAAAAUUGUG
Centruroides sculpturatus (bark scorpion) is the source of this 517-nucleotide long non-coding RNA. RefSeq lists it as uncharacterized. NCBI's taxonomy places the organism in Eukaryota, Metazoa, Arthropoda, Arachnida, Scorpiones, Buthidae. The transcript is spliced from 3 exons. The record is from RefSeq and is a predicted model, not a curated record.